GGGUUGUGAGGUUAAGCGACUAAGCGUACACGGUGGAUGCCCUGGCAGUCAGAGGCGAUGAAGGACGUGCUAAUCUGCGAUAAGCGUCGGUAAGGUGAUAUGAACCGUUAUAACCGGCGAUUUCCGAAUGGGGAAACCCAGUGUGUUUCGACACACUAUCAUUAACUGAAUCCAUAGGUUAAUGAGGCGAACCGGGGGAACUGAAACAUCUAAGUACCCCGAGGAAAAGAAAUCAACCGAGAUUCCCCCAGUAGCGGCGAGCGAACGGGGAGCAGCCCAGAGCCUGAAUCAGUGUGUGUGUUAGUGGAAGCGUCUGGAAAGGCGCGCGAUACAGGGUGACAGCCCCGUACACAAAAAUGCACAUGCUGUGAGCUCGAUGAGUAGGGCGGGACACGUGGUAUCCUGUCUGAAUAUGGGGGGACCAUCCUCCAAGGCUAAAUACUCCUGACUGACCGAUAGUGAACCAGUACCGUGAGGGAAAGGCGAAAAGAACCCCGGCGAGGGGAGUGAAAAAGAACCUGAAACCGUGUACGUACAAGCAGUGGGAGCACGCUUAGGCGUGUGACUGCGUACCUUUUGUAUAAUGGGUCAGCGACUUAUAUUCUGUAGCAAGGUUAACCGAAUAGGGGAGCCGAAGGGAAACCGAGUCUUAACUGGGCGUUAAGUUGCAGGGUAUAGACCCGAAACCCGGUGAUCUAGCCAUGGGCAGGUUGAAGGUUGGGUAACACUAACUGGAGGACCGAACCGACUAAUGUUGAAAAAUUAGCGGAUGACUUGUGGCUGGGGGUGAAAGGCCAAUCAAACCGGGAGAUAGCUGGUUCUCCCCGAAAGCUAUUUAGGUAGCGCCUCGUGAAUUCAUCUCCGGGGGUAGAGCACUGUUUCGGCAAGGGGGUCAUCCCGACUUACCAACCCGAUGCAAACUGCGAAUACCGGAGAAUGUUAUCACGGGAGACACACGGCGGGUGCUAACGUCCGUCGUGAAGAGGGAAACAACCCAGACCGCCAGCUAAGGUCCCAAAGUCAUGGUUAAGUGGGAAACGAUGUGGGAAGGCCCAGACAGCCAGGAUGUUGGCUUAGAAGCAGCCAUCAUUUAAAGAAAGCGUAAUAGCUCACUGGUCGAGUCGGCCUGCGCGGAAGAUGUAACGGGGCUAAACUAUGCACCGAAGCUGCGGCAGCGACGCUUAUGCGUUGUUGGGUAGGGGAGCGUUCUGUAAGCCUGUGAAGGUGUGCUGUGAGGCAUGCUGGAGGUAUCAGAAGUGCGAAUGCUGACAUAAGUAACGAUAAAGCGGGUGAAAAGCCCGCUCGCCGGAAGACCAAGGGUUCCUGUCCAACGUUAAUCGGGGCAGGGUGAGUCGACCCCUAAGGCGAGGCCGAAAGGCGUAGUCGAUGGGAAACAGGUUAAUAUUCCUGUACUUGGUGUUACUGCGAAGGGGGGACGGAGAAGGCUAUGUUGGCCGGGCGACGGUUGUCCCGGUUUAAGCGUGUAGGCUGGUUUUCCAGGCAAAUCCGGAAAAUCAAGGCUGAGGCGUGAUGACGAGGCACUACGGUGCUGAAGCAACAAAUGCCCUGCUUCCAGGAAAAGCCUCUAAGCAUCAGGUAACAUCAAAUCGUACCCCAAACCGACACAGGUGGUCAGGUAGAGAAUACCAAGGCGCUUGAGAGAACUCGGGUGAAGGAACUAGGCAAAAUGGUGCCGUAACUUCGGGAGAAGGCACGCUGAUAUGUAGGUGAAGUCCCUCGCGGAUGGAGCUGAAAUCAGUCGAAGAUACCAGCUGGCUGCAACUGUUUAUUAAAAACACAGCACUGUGCAAACACGAAAGUGGACGUAUACGGUGUGACGCCUGCCCGGUGCCGGAAGGUUAAUUGAUGGGGUCAGCGCAAGCGAAGCUCUUGAUCGAAGCCCCGGUAAACGGCGGCCGUAACUAUAACGGUCCUAAGGUAGCGAAAUUCCUUGUCGGGUAAGUUCCGACCUGCACGAAUGGCGUAAUGAUGGCCAGGCUGUCUCCACCCGAGACUCAGUGAAAUUGAACUCGCUGUGAAGAUGCAGUGUACCCGCGGCAAGACGGAAAGACCCCGUGAACCUUUACUAUAGCUUGACACUGAACAUUGAGCCUUGAUGUGUAGGAUAGGUGGGAGGCUUUGAAGUGUGGACGCCAGUCUGCAUGGAGCCGACCUUGAAAUACCACCCUUUAAUGUUUGAUGUUCUAACGUUGACCCCUAAUCGGGGUUGCGGACAGUGUCUGGUGGGUAGUUUGACUGGGGCGGUCUCCUCCUAAAGAGUAACGGAGGAGCACGAAGGUUGGCUAAUCCUGGUCGGACAUCAGGAGGUUAGUGCAAUGGCAUAAGCCAGCUUGACUGCGAGCGUGACGGCGCGAGCAGGUGCGAAAGCAGGUCAUAGUGAUCCGGUGGUUCUGAAUGGAAGGGCCAUCGCUCAACGGAUAAAAGGUACUCCGGGGAUAACAGGCUGAUACCGCCCAAGAGUUCAUAUCGACGGCGGUGUUUGGCACCUCGAUGUCGGCUCAUCACAUCCUGGGGCUGAAGUAGGUCCCAAGGGUAUGGCUGUUCGCCAUUUAAAGUGGUACGCGAGCUGGGUUUAGAACGUCGUGAGACAGUUCGGUCCCUAUCUGCCGUGGGCGCUGGAGAACUGAGGGGGGCUGCUCCUAGUACGAGAGGACCGGAGUGGACGCAUCACUGGUGUUCGGGUUGUCAUGCCAAUGGCACUGCCCGGUAGCUAAAUGCGGAAGAGAUAAGUGCUGAAAGCAUCUAAGCACGAAACUUGCCCCGAGAUGAGUUCUCCCUGACCCUUUAAGGGUCCUGAAGGAACGUUGAAGACGACGACGUUGAUAGGCCGGGUGUGUAAGCGCAGCGAUGCGUUGAGCUAACCGGUACUAAUGAACCGUGAGGCUUAACCUUACAACGCCGAAGCUGUU
Molecule: ribosomal RNA, 2930 nt
Filed under: Escherichia coli
Lineage: Bacteria; Pseudomonadati; Pseudomonadota; Gammaproteobacteria; Enterobacterales; Enterobacteriaceae
Description: 23S ribosomal RNA
Rfam family: Bacterial large subunit ribosomal RNA
Source: RNAcentral